GAUGAACGCUAGCGGCAGGCCUAAUACAUGCAAGACGAACGGUAAGUUGAGUAGCAAUACUUAGCCAAGAGUGUCGUACGGGUGCGUAACACGUAUGCAACCUACCCUAUACAGGAGGAUAGCCUAGGGAAACCUGGAUUAACCCUUCAUAGUAUUAUUGGAUGGCAUCAUUUGAUAAUUAAAACUGAGGUGGUAUAGGAUGGGCAUGCGUCUGAUUAGUUAGUUGGCGGGUAAUGGCCCACCAAGACGAUGAUCAGUAGGGGUUCUGAGAGGAAGAUCCCCCACACUGGCACUGAGAUACGGGCCAGACUCCUACGGGAGGCAGCAGUAGGGAAUAUUGGUCAAUGGAUGCAAGUCUGAACCAGCCAUGCCGCGUGCAGGGAAGAAGGCCUUCUGGGUUGUAAACUGCUUUUGCCAGGGAUAAAUUCCAUG
Molecule: ribosomal RNA, 432 nt
Filed under: uncultured bacterium
Lineage: Bacteria
Description: bacterial SSU rRNA
Rfam family: Bacterial small subunit ribosomal RNA
Source: RNAcentral